This 627-nucleotide long non-coding RNA is filed under the name Anser brachyrhynchus (Pink-footed goose). RNAcentral describes it as "lncRNA (ENSABRG00000012388.1)". The record is from RNAcentral. Lineage: Eukaryota; Metazoa; Chordata; Aves; Anseriformes; Anatidae.
AACACAAGAGGUACCAGUAACUGAAGACAUACAUUAGCCCAUGACUGCAUGUGCAAGUGUCUCUACUGCAUGCGGCUCCUUCUGCUCUUCUCCUUGCUUUGCAGAGCAAUAGGGCACUUGGUAAAAAACACGCUGGCAGCAUACAUGGUACUGUAGGCUGUUUGGUUAUGAAUGGCUCUGUCAAGCUAGUAAGAGACAGGAAGAGCUCAGUGGCAAUGGUGGACUGAAGGAUGCACUGGGAGAAGAGAAGCUUCAAGAGGAUAAUCCAGUUAACAAGAAAAGCGUAGAGAAGUUGACAUGAACAUGACUGACAGUUAUUUCCCUGGAACUCUUCUUGAAAUUGAAAAUGCAACUGAGGGGCACUGCUGCCAGCUGUUACCUUGCUUGCCCUCCACACAGGACCUUGAGCAAGAUUGUUGGUGUGGGGUUUCCUUUUGGCGGGGUUUGCCACCUGCAGUCAGGAUGUUGCCAAGUAAAUACAUUGCCUGUGAUCCUUGGGGGCGAGGCAGCAGUCAGGAUGUUGUGACACCUGUCAAAUGCGUUUUCACUUCUGGGAGGACUAAAAAGCAAAAUCUCUCAUAUCAAUUUUCAGUUGUAUUGGGGAUUUCUCAGGUUUCAAGGUCAUGA